Molecule: transfer RNA, 74 nt
Filed under: Mycolicibacterium wolinskyi
Lineage: Bacteria; Bacillati; Actinomycetota; Actinomycetes; Mycobacteriales; Mycobacteriaceae
Description: Mycobacterium wolinskyi tRNA
Rfam family: tRNA
About the family: Transfer RNA (tRNA) molecules are approximately 80 nucleotides in length. Their secondary structure includes four short double-helical elements and three loops (D, anti-codon, and T loops).
Source: Rfam by way of RNAcentral
GCCCCUGUAGCGCAAUCGGACAGCGCACCGGUUUCCGGAACCGGAGGAUGUAGGUUCGAAUCCUGCCAGGGGCG